CCUACGGGUGGCAGCAGUAGGGAAUUUUUCACAAUGGGCGAAAGCCUGAUGGAGCAACGCCGCGUGCAGGAUGAAGGCCUUCGGGUUGUAAACUGCUUUUAUAAGCGAGAAAUAUGAUGGUAACUUAUGAAUAAGGAUCGGCUAACUACGUGCCAGCAGCCGCGGGCAUACGUAGGAUCCGAGCAUUAUCCGGAGUGACUGGGUGUAAAGAGUUGCGUAGGUGGCAUAAUAAGUAGCUAGUGAAAUCUGGUGGCUCAACCAUUCAGACUAUUAGCUAAACUGUUAAGCUCGAGACCGUUAGGGGUAACUGGAAUGUCUAGUGUAGGAGUGAAAUCCGUAGAUAUUAGAAGGAACACCAAUAGCGUAGGCAGGUUGCUGGGACGGUUCUGACACUAAGGCACGAAAGCGUAGGGAGCAAACGGGAUUAGAUACCCCAGUAGUC
Molecule: ribosomal RNA, 442 nt
Filed under: uncultured bacterium
Lineage: Bacteria
Description: partial 16S ribosomal RNA
Rfam family: Bacterial small subunit ribosomal RNA
Source: RNAcentral